Molecule: long non-coding RNA, 3717 nt
Filed under: Mus musculus (house mouse)
Lineage: Eukaryota; Metazoa; Chordata; Mammalia; Rodentia; Muridae
Description: RIKEN cDNA A230057D06 gene
Source: RNAcentral
GAAGAGAGGAACAUGAUUAGUUAUUAGGGGGGGACAUGAAUGAAAGCAGACAACUUUGGCAGGUAGGAGGUGGGGGACGCUUUUUAAUGUACCAGAGACCUAGGAAGUGAUAGACUCUCGGGUCUCAAAGGGAGGGUUAGAUAAAAUAACAUACAGGAGACAGAAAGAAAUGUAGAGUCCCCUCUAGUAAAAGAUAGAACAUCAAGUGGAGGGAGAGAGUUGCUAUUCCAUAGUCUAAAACUCUGACCCAGAAUUAUUCCUGUAUAAAGAAAUGCAGGGAUAAAAAUGGAGAAUGACUGAGGGAAAGAAGGUCCUGUGACAGACCCAAAUUUGGAUCCAGCUCAAGGGGAGGCCCAAGGCCUGACACUAUUACUGAUACUUUGGUUUUCUUACAAACAGGAGCCUAGCAUGUCUGCCUUCAGAAAGCCCCAAAAAAGCCGCUGAAAGAGUCAGAUGAAUAUAUUUCCACCCAAGCAAUGGACAGAAGAUAGUGACCCCAGUGGUUGACUGUGCCAAAGCUGGAAGAAGCUGAUGAGAAGGGCAACCUUAUAGGAAGACAAGCAGUUUCAACUUACUUUGAUCCCUGUGGUCUCUCAGACAUUGUGCCACCAAUUAGGAAGCAUACCAGGUUGUGUGAGUCCCCCAACACAUAUACAACAGAAGACUGCCUGAUCUGCACUCAGUGGGAGAAGAUGCACCUAACCUUUGAGAGUCUUGAGACUCCAUGGAGUGGGGACAUCUAAUAGGGUGGGAGUUAGUGUGUGGGGAAAUCUGCUUGGAGACAGAUGAGAAUGUAUGGGACGAGGAGCAAUCAAAGGCUAGAAUGAUAGUUGGAUAGAGACUGGACUGUAAAAAAACUACUAAAGAAUAAUAAAAAAGAAAUGAUGGCACUAUAGAAAGUUAAUAAAAUGAAGUUUGCCCUAAUAGUUUCUAGUAGUGUUAUGUCUACUCUUUACAUGAACAUUACAAUGUAAUAGUUGAAUAAAUACAAUCCUGAAUGGUGCAAGAGACUUUCUACUGAAGCAAUUCCAGUCAGUAAAGAUGCACUUUCUCAAAGAGCUGGAGAUAGUGGACAUCUGCAAAAAAAAUUUAUUUGAUGGUUAUUUCAGUUAUGGAAUUUCUUACUUUAGAGUAAGUUUUGAGUCUUAGUUCUAGCUUUGAGAUCUUCUUCAUGAUCUUUUUCUUGAUUUGUCCUUAAUCUACUGUUUAAUUGUAUGUAGAAAUUCUGACAAGCAGAGGCAAACAGAGAUAAUAUCAAUUUUUCUACAGAAUUAUUGCAAGUUAGGCUUCUCAGUGGUGCCAGGCCCUACCAAGGAGAAGAGUAUAUGGUGUUCCUCAGAGUAGGAGAAAUGCUCAUUAAAGAUUGCAAGCGACAGAACCAAGUGAAACCCAGUUGUCGCAGGGACUUGCUAGUAUCUCUAUAUUCCUCAUGGACCAGCUGUCCCUAAAUGCUUUUCAGGAAAUAUGUUCCUCCAGCUGAAGUCUAUGCUCCUGCUUUAAGAUACACUGUCCCUGUCACAGUCUUAGAUCAUGUAUCACUUGCAAGGAAAAGGAUACACUUUAGGAACCAGUAUCUGAUAAAACGAGGGUUGUGCAAUUUUCCUGUUGCCAUAACCAUCUAAGAGUUUCAACUUUCACAUCCUGUUUAUAGAGUUAGGUUGAAAUUAUCACUUCAGUUUGACAAAUAAUAAUGCUUGCAGUUUGUCUUUUCUGUCUUCCCAUUCAUACCUAUGAGGUCAGGUGCUAUAUGAGCCUUCUAAAAUCUAUAUUAUGGUGUCUGAUAUUAUAUACUCUUAUCAAAAGAAAUUUACACAUCAAAUUUCCUUGUCACUCAUUAAUAUUGAAUAUACACUGACUGACUAAUUUUAUUUCAUUAAUAUUCUCUCUCAGUCAGUCAGUCUCUGGGAUAUAUCAUGCAUAUGUCACAAUUAUAUUAAUUUGAGUUGCUCCUUGCAAUAAAAACAGUUUCCAGCUUCACAAAACACAUAAUGUCUGGCAGCCUUUUGUGUCUUAGAUUAGUUUUAAUCUCUUAAGUUUCCCUUGGUUUGGAGCAUCUAAGUGUAAGAAUUUAAGGCCUUAUCUGCAUACUAAAUAAAAUGUAGUUGCAACAAUACAACAAAGCGUAAACUAAUGCAAGUAUUUCUUUGCUCAGAAAUAUCAGGAAGAUAUAUUUAUGAUUCUCAGAAUGAUACAUUGAUAAAACAGUUUCGUUCAGUUGAAUGUCUGAUGAUAUAGAGAUAGGUAUAGAGCUGAAAGUAUGAGAAUGGAGAGAGUGAGGAGAGAGAAUGAUGAUGAUACCAUAUGUUAUUGUACACAGUAUUUCUCAAAGGUUCCUACUUCACAGGAACUUUGGCAAAAGAAAAAUUAAGUGUCAUAAAAACCUAGGACAAAUUUCUAAUUGAUGUUCCUGUUAACAUAUCAAAGUGAACAGAAUCUCUCAGUAUUGAAGAUAUCUUUUACAAGCUUUCCUCAUUCUCUCUAACCUCUUGCUAUUCUUUUGUCUCCUCUCACUUUCUGAUAUGAAACAUUUAAAAAUCUUGACUCAAAGUAAUUAUACUGAGUUCUAUUCUGAUGAAACCUCAUCCCCGCUUUAAUGAUGCUAGUGUAAAAUCGUAGUUGCUCAUUGUGCUAUUAAAAGUGAAAUGUAGAUAGCGUAGCAUAAACAUUCAAACAAUGUGAAUGAGGUUAGUACAUGAAAUUGAAGUGAUUUGCCAUUCCAAAUAUCAGAGGAAUUUACUUGGAUGAUAAAUAGCCAAAAUAUUGAUAGCAACUGAUGUUUAUUCUUCUAACACUCUAUCUGAACGAAUACAGACCUAUUUAAAAAAUACUGGUAUCUGAAGAAAAGAUUUGAAAAACAGGUUCUUAGCAUAAUGUACUAUUAUCUGAAAACAAGAAUUUUAAAAAAUUAAAACUUAAAAUACACAAACAUGAUCACUUUAUUAAUAGAUCAAAUGUCAUUAUCUUUGUUUUAUAACAAGAUUUAGUAUUUAUUUGGAACUUGACUAUCUUUUUAUAUAAAGUAUAAGAAUGCAUUUCAUAAUUUAAUGUAUUUUCCUGUAGCUAUUGUCAUGUCCUUUCAGGUGUCCACUUUACUAGCUAUCUUGAACCACUUGCAAUGUGUCAUUUACAUAAUUUCUAGCAGUUACUCUUUAGAUAAAUUCUGGAAUAUAUUUAUGCACAUUAUUUUUGUGUUUGUAGUUUAAAGUGUUUGUUGGUUACAUUUAUACCAAUAUUGUUAUCUUACUAUGUGUCCAUGUACUUUUGAUGCAGAGUCUUGCUGUCCUAUUCACUGAGUUCUCCAACUCAUCCUUGAAACCACGCCUCCUCUGAGCUUCAUGAGAAACUCACAGUACAGAGGCAGAGCACCACAUUCAGCUGAGAUCCAAGAGUCUUGAGGAGAGAAGUUUAAUGAAGAUCCAUUUAACAUCUACAGAUGCACAGUCUCUCACUAUCUCUACACAGGGCACUUGAGAAUGCCUUAGAUAAUUCUUGUGAAAGAGGAGACAGCCUUGUUGAGAACUGAGCACUGAAUUGAAUUAUGGGUAGAACAGUAUGUUGGUAGGAAUCAUUUUAUUUCAGUUUCCCUAUAGGAAAAUAGCAGUAGUAGGUUUUUUUUUUUCUUUUCUAUAACCCAAUUCUAUCUAAACUCAGAUUCAUGGGCACUUGGAUGUAUAAGGUAUGAAUUUAUCACAUAGACUUAGCCCUAAAAUCUAAAAC